RNAcentral lists this ribosomal RNA (397 nucleotides) under uncultured Glomeromycotina. RNAcentral's name for it is "SSU rRNA". It matches the Rfam family "Eukaryotic small subunit ribosomal RNA", at positions 688 to 1083 of the family's 1831-position model. The record is from RNAcentral. Lineage: Eukaryota; Fungi; Glomeromycota.
AUUGGUUUCUCCCUUCUGACGAAGCAUGAUGUCAUUAAUUUGGUGUCGUGGGGAAUCAGGACUGUUACUUUGAAAAAAUUAGAGUGUUUAAAGCAAGCAUUAGCUUGAAUACAUUAGCAUGGAAUAAUGAAAUAGGACGUUUGAUCCUAUUUCGUUGGUUUCUAGGAUCGACGUAAUGAUUAAUAGGGAUAGUUGGGGGCAUUAGUAUUCAAUUGUCAGAGGUGAAAUUCUUGGAUUUAUUGAAGACUAACUACUGCGAAAGCAUUUGCCAAGGAUGUUUUCAUUAAUCAAGAACGAAAGUUAGGGGAUCGAAGACGAUCAGAUACCGUCGUAGUCUUAACCAUAAACUAUGCCGACUAGGGAUCGGAUGAUGUUAAUUUUUUAAUGACUCAUUCGG